UGCAUCUGUACUAUUUUUUCUGGAAUCAUUUCUACAUAAUCAUGUAACUGAUUAUUACAAGUUGUUUGGGAAAAAAUCAGUGCGGAGACCAGUAAGGUAAUGUGUGAUGGGUCCCUUGUGCUAAUGCAGUCUAUUGCAUACACUUUCUGCAAACUUCCUUUGGAGAGAUUGAUCUGCAUGUACUAUGACAUCAUCACUGGAUAUUAUCACUGGAUGGUUCAAAGAUAUCAGGAAGAUGCCAAUUCUUCAUCGCUGCCUAAGCCACAUUAUGAAGAAUGCGAAAGUGUUCUGCAAGAAACAUUCCCCAAAACACUACAGACUGUCCAUGCAUCUUUUUGGACUCCUGACAAGUGCUGCCACACUGAUGGAGAUGGAUGACAUCAUUAUUAGCAUGACAGUCAUGUUCUCCAGCUCCCAUAGUGGUGACAAUGUACAAAAGCACCUCCAAAAUCUUCAGAACAGGAUGGAGAGAAUGGGCAUGUAUGAAGGAAGUUACUGUGGUGACAAUGACUUUCAGGUUUGUGACACAGCCUAAUAUUCUGGUUGCCUUUCAAGUCAGUUAUUUUAAUGUGGUUAUGGCAUACUGAAAUAGGGAUAAUGGUACAAUGCUAGUAUGUUUCUAGUAGUUUUUUUCCCCCUUAAAUACAGAAUAAAAUUAUUAUUAAUUUGCAGGUUAAAGUGGGACCAACACCAUUUCACACUCAUUUUUAAGAAAUAAUGGAAAAUGCACCUGUAUGUGAAAAUGGGGAGACAAAUGAGUAUCAUUCACCUACAUUCAUGCCUAGCCUGUUAAAAUAUUUCCUACCUCAGGCACCUCUCUGGUCUGGUCUUAUGUUGGGUGAUCUUGGCCGCCAUGGAAAAGGACCAGCCUACAAAUGUCUGUCCAACAACUUUAUGCGCUGCAGAGACUUACCUACACAGAACUACACAGAGGACAACAAAACACAGGGUGUGAUGGAGAAAAGUCAGUGGGAUCUGAAGAAAAUACGAUUCCAGAGACGCCGUUUUACAAGACUUGAUGACUUUGUUCACAUUUAUCAGCACACCCAUAAUGCUCUAUUAAUGGAGUUCUCUGACUCCGUACGCAAGAAAAAGACACACAGGGUACAUGUCGAGCGCUGGAAACAAAGAAAGCCUCGCAGGAAAGCAAUUUAUGUGUCACCACUUAAAAAGGGUUUCCCAUUCAAGACAGCCAAAAAGCAUCAAGGCGGCGCGGCAUGGAGGCAAUCAGGCUUUGACACAGCUUAGGUGCCAAAUCCUGCUGGAAAAUAAAAUCAUCAUCUCCAAAAAGCUUGUCGGCAGCAGGAAGCAUGAAGUGCUCUAAAAUUUCCUGGUAUACAGCUGUGUUUAAUUGAUAAAAGACAAUGGACCCACACCAGCAGAUGACAUGGCUCCCCAAUUCAUCACUGACUGUGGAAACUUCACACUGGACUUUAAGCAGCUUGACUUUUGUGCC
Clarias gariepinus (North African catfish) is the source of this 1456-nucleotide long non-coding RNA. RefSeq lists it as uncharacterized. Lineage: Eukaryota; Metazoa; Chordata; Actinopteri; Siluriformes; Clariidae. The transcript is spliced from 6 exons. The record is from RefSeq and is a predicted model, not a curated record.